AGAUUGAACGCUGGCGGCAUGCCUUACACAUGCAAGUCGAACGGCAGCACGGGAGCAAUCCUGGUGGCGAGUGGCGAACGGGUGAGUAAUAUAUCGGAACGUGCCCAGUAAUGGGGGAUAGCCCGGCGAAAGCCGGAUUAAUACCGCAUACGACCUACGGGUGAAAGCGGGGGAUCGCAAGACCUCGCGUUAUUGGAGCGGCCGAUAUCAGAUUAGCUUGUUGGCGGGUAAAAGCCCACCAAGGCAACGAUCUGUAGCUGGUCUGAGAGGACGACCAGCCACACUGGGACUGAGACACGGCCCAGACUCCGUACGGGAGCAGCAGUGGGGAAUUUUGGACGAAGUAGGGGAACCCUGACUCCGAGCCACGUCCCGCGUCGUGCGAUAGGAACGGUCCGUU
Molecule: ribosomal RNA, 400 nt
Filed under: uncultured soil bacterium
Lineage: Bacteria
Description: bacterial SSU rRNA
Rfam family: Bacterial small subunit ribosomal RNA
Source: RNAcentral